This 254-nucleotide ribosomal RNA is filed under the name uncultured bacterium. Its description in RNAcentral is "partial 16S ribosomal RNA". It matches the Rfam family "Bacterial small subunit ribosomal RNA", at positions 524 to 776 of the family's 1533-position model. The record is from RNAcentral.
UACGUAGGGGGCAAGCGUUGUCCGGAAUCAUUGGGCGUAAAGCGCGUGUAGGCGGUCCGGUAAGUCCGCUGUGAAAGUCGGGGGCUCAACCCUCGGAUGCCGGUGGAUACUGUCGGGCUUGAGUACGGAAGAGGCGAGUGGAAUUCCUGGUGUAGCGGUGAAAUGCGUAGAUAUCAAGAGGAACACCUGAGGUGAAGACGGGUUGCUGGGCCGACACUGACGCUGACAGCGCGAAAGCCAGGGGAGCAAACGGG